UGCGGGGUCGUUUAACUGGUAAGACGGCCAGCUGUCAACUGGACCAUGCGGGUUCGAGUCCCGCCCCCGCAG
This 72-nucleotide transfer RNA is filed under the name Elusimicrobiota bacterium. RNAcentral describes it as "Elusimicrobia bacterium (groundwater metagenome) tRNA-Asp". It matches the Rfam family "tRNA". Rfam says of the family: Transfer RNA (tRNA) molecules are approximately 80 nucleotides in length. Their secondary structure includes four short double-helical elements and three loops (D, anti-codon, and T loops). Further hydrogen bonds mediate the characteristic L-shaped molecular structure. tRNAs have two regions of fundamental functional importance: the anti-codon, which is responsible for specific mRNA codon recognition, and the 3' end, to which the tRNAs corresponding amino acid is attached (by aminoacyl-tRNA synthetases). tRNAs cope with the degeneracy of the genetic code in two manners: having more than one tRNA (with a specific anti-codon) for a particular amino acid; and 'wobble' base-pairing, i.e. permitting non-standard base-pairing at the 3rd anti-codon position. The record is from RNAcentral. Lineage: Bacteria; Pseudomonadati; Elusimicrobiota.